RNAcentral lists this ribosomal RNA (484 nucleotides) under uncultured bacterium. RNAcentral's name for it is "partial 16S ribosomal RNA". It matches the Rfam family "Bacterial small subunit ribosomal RNA", at positions 29 to 507 of the family's 1533-position model. The record is from RNAcentral.
AUUGAACGCCGGCGGCAUGCUUUACACAUGCAAGUCGAACGGCAGCGCGGGCUUCGGCCUGGCGGCGAGUGGCGAACGGGUGAGUAAUACAUCGGAACGUGCCCAGUAGUGGGGGCUAGCUCGGCGAAAGCCGGAUUAAUACCGCAUACGACCUGACGGUGAAAGCGGGGGAUCUUCGGACCUCGCGCUAUUGGAGCGGCCGAUGGCAGAUUAGCUAGUUGGUGGGGUAAAGGCCUACCAAGGCGACGAUCUGUAGCUGGUCUGAGAGGACGACCAGCCACACUGGGACUGAGACACGGCCCAGACUCCUACGGGAGGCAGCAGUGGGGAAUGUUGGACAAUGGGCGAAAGCCUGAUCCAGCAAUGCCGCGUGUGUGAUGAAGGCCUUCGGGUUGUAAAGCACUUUUGGCGGGAACGAAAAGGACUGGGCCAAUACCACGGUUCGAUGACGGUACCCGCAGAAUAAGCACCGGCUAACUACGUG